Molecule: long non-coding RNA, 216 nt
Filed under: Homo sapiens (human)
Lineage: Eukaryota; Metazoa; Chordata; Mammalia; Primates; Hominidae
Description: non-protein coding lnc-TMCC3-1:1
Source: RNAcentral
AUAAAUGAAGACUCAACUAUAAGGGACCCAGUAAAUAAACAUAGGAGACAAUGCCUUAAGAGAAACAGAAGGUAAAAGUAAGGAAAAUAUUUAAAAAAUCAAAAAGAACCUAAGAGAGAGAGAAAGAUUGAGGAACAAUACAGCUAUUGAAUGAAUAUAGGCAAAGAACCAACAUGUGGAUAACAAAAGUGUCUGAAUAAGAAAACCAAAGCAAGA